This 73-nucleotide transfer RNA is filed under the name Dermacentor andersoni. RNAcentral's name for it is "transfer RNA proline (anticodon CGG)". It matches the Rfam family "tRNA". From Rfam's summary of the family: Transfer RNA (tRNA) molecules are approximately 80 nucleotides in length. Their secondary structure includes four short double-helical elements and three loops (D, anti-codon, and T loops). The record is from RNAcentral. Lineage: Eukaryota; Metazoa; Arthropoda; Arachnida; Ixodida; Ixodidae.
GCCGCGGUAGCUCAAUUGGUGGAGCAUCGCACGCGGAAUUCGAAGGUUGUGGGUUCGGUUCCCACCUGCGGCA